AUUGAACGCUGGCGGCAUGCCUUACACAUGCAAGUCGAACGGUAGAGUAGCAAUACUUGAGAGUGGCGAACGGGUGAGUAAUAUAUCGGAACGUGCCCUGUCGUGGGGGAUAACGUAGAGAAAUUUACGCUAAUACCGCAUACGAUCUAAGGAUGAAAGCGGGGGAUUCGCAAGAACCUCGCGCGAUUGGAGCGGCUGAUAUCAGAUUAGGUUGUUGGUGAGGUAAAAGCUCACCAAGCCGACGAUCUGUAGCUGGUUUGAGAGAACGACCAGCCACACUGGGACUGAGACACGGCCCAGACUCCUACGGGAGGCAGCAGUGGGGAAUUUUGGACAAUGGGCGAAAGCCUGAUCCAGCAAUGCCGCGUGCAGGAAGAAGGCC
Molecule: ribosomal RNA, 382 nt
Filed under: uncultured bacterium
Lineage: Bacteria
Description: bacterial SSU rRNA
Rfam family: Bacterial small subunit ribosomal RNA
Source: RNAcentral